Gasterosteus aculeatus aculeatus (three-spined stickleback) is the source of this 529-nucleotide long non-coding RNA. The record is from Ensembl. NCBI's taxonomy places the organism in Eukaryota, Metazoa, Chordata, Actinopteri, Perciformes, Gasterosteidae.
CACUGCAAAACCACCUAUCAGGUCAUCUCUAUCCGUAGAUCGUAGUAGUCAGAUGGAGUCUCCAUGUUAUUUGCAUCAGUUAAGAUCCAGGAGCAUGGACACACACAAGUCAACUCAGAGACAGUACGAGAAAUUGAACUAUUUUUCAUUAGACGGGUGCAAAAAUGUUUUUUAGUUUCAUCAUACACGACCCGGAUAAAAUCCCACAUCCCACUCAACACCUGGACUUGAUGCUGCAGGUACCGCAGGCGUCCGCAGGGAGCUGUCAGAGGAGAGGAGGAGAGCGAGGGGCCUCUCAGUCUUUACCGGAGGGCCUGCGGGGACGGGGGUACACAUGGUGGUGCCCCACGAGAUAAACAGAGAAGCAAUCGCUUGGAGAUCAGAACAGCGGAUCAGCAUCUUUGUUCCGUGUUUCUGGCUGCAGCUCCCCUCGCCUCAGAUCUUUCUCCUCGCUGCAGCUGAGCUGGCAGUCCGAUCAUUACCUCCACGCCUGCCGCUGUUCUCUAACUGUAAUAGUGUUGUGGCAACG